Molecule: ribosomal RNA, 230 nt
Filed under: uncultured bacterium
Lineage: Bacteria
Description: partial 16S ribosomal RNA
Rfam family: Bacterial small subunit ribosomal RNA
Source: RNAcentral
CGGGUGAGUAACGCGUGGAUAACCUGCCUCACACUGGGGAUAACAGUUAGAAAUGACUGCUAAUACCGCAUAAGCGCACAGUACCGCAUGGUACGGUGUGAAAAACUCCGGUGGUGUGAGAUGGAUCCGCGUCUGAUUAGCCAGUUGGCGGGGUAACGGCCCACCAAAGCGACGAUCAGUAGCCGACCUGAGAGGGUGACCGGCCACAUUGGGACUGAGACACGGCCCAA